CUCUAGAUAAGACAAAUAAGGACUCCUGGAAACGUCUGGCUGUUGACUGGAGUGCUUUGUUUACUGAGGUGGACAAUGGUUCUUCUACCACUUGAAGAGGCCUCCUCAGUCCUGAGUUCCCUCGAGUUUCAAUGGGAGCAGGCAGAGGUCAUGCAUUCACAUUCUCUGGCUGUCCCUGUCUCUGACUCUGCCUCUGUCUUUCCCUGUCUCUGUAUCUCUGUCUGUCUGUCUCUCUCUUUCUCUGUCUGUCUGUUUCUGUCUCUUUCUCUCUCUGUCUCUCUGUAUCUCUCUGUCUCUGUCUCUCUCUGCCUGUCUCUAUUUCUUUCUCUUUCUCUGUCUCUGUCUGUCUGUCUCUCUUUCUUUGUCAGUCUCUCUGUCUCUGUCUGUCUCUCUUUUUCUGCCUGUCUGUCUCUUUUUCUCUCUCUCUUUCUCUGCCUCUGCCUCUGUCUUUCUCUCUCUGUCUCUGUAAUUGUCUCUCUCUGUCUGUUUCUGUCUGUCUCUUUCUCUAUCUCUGCCUCUCUUUCUCUGUCUGUCUUCUCUGUCUGUCUCUCUUUCUCUGUCUGUCUCUUUCUCUCUCUGUCUCUCUCUUUGUUUGUCUCUGUCUGUCUCUCUUUUUCUGCCUGCCUGUCUCUUUCUCUGCCUCUGCCUUUCUCUCUCUGUCUCUGUAUCUGUCUCUCUUUCUCUGUCUGUUUCUGUCUGUCUCUUUCUCUGUUUGUUUCUGCCUCUCUGUCUGUCUCUCUGUCUCUGUCUUCUCUGUCUGUCUCUUUCUCUCUCUGUCUGUCUCUUUGUUUGUCUCUGUCUUUCUCUCUUUUCUGCCUGUCUGUGUCUGUCUCUGUCUCAGUCUCUGUCUCUCUUUCUUUCUGUCUCUGUCUUCUCUGUCUGUCUCUGUCUCUUUCCCUCUCUGUCAGUCACUUUCUCUGUCUUCUCAGUCUCUCUUUCUCUGACUGUCUCUUUCUCUCUCUCUCUCUCUCUCUCUGUCUCCCCAAUUUGCUAUUCAAGUAGUCAGUUAUGUCAUCAACAAGUUUGAAUUGAGCAAUAAGCAUGAUCCGGCCCAGUCCUGGAUGUCUCCCCGUUCUUGCCAGGACUUCAAGUAUUGACUUCAGUGGUCUGAGUGGGCCCUAAGAGGUAAUGUGGUAAACAGAUUCCUCUUGGCCCCCUUGUCUACCCCACACCCAGAAAAGAAUUGGUGCUACCGUAUACCUAAGGAAUGGUCCUCCAACCUUCCCAUCAAUCAGUAGUAUUUAUUGCUAUGGCAUUAAUGUGAAUUACUAUGGCAAUAGAUGCUGAGGACACAAAGACAGAAAAGAAAAAAGUCCCUCUCCUAAAGGGCAUCCGGGGCAUCAACCAAAUGGGCAUAUAUUUAAGUAUAUGCAAAUGAUAUGCAAAACAACUUCAAAUUCUAAAUUUCUUUUUGCUUGAAGACUUGGAUGGGAAGGGAAUCUUUCUGCUGCCUGCCUGCUGCAGCCCUAGCCCUAACUCUAAUGGUUCCCCCAGCCUGCAGCCCAGAUUGGUUCCUUUGCUAUCUCUGCUACUUGUUUCUGGUUCUGUCCCUUGUGACUCCACAGAACUUCUUCCUUCAUCC
This is a long non-coding RNA of Monodelphis domestica (gray short-tailed opossum), 1582 nucleotides long. The record is from Ensembl. Lineage: Eukaryota; Metazoa; Chordata; Mammalia; Didelphimorphia; Didelphidae.